RNAcentral lists this ribosomal RNA (207 nucleotides) under uncultured bacterium. RNAcentral describes it as "partial 16S ribosomal RNA". It matches the Rfam family "Bacterial small subunit ribosomal RNA", at positions 568 to 774 of the family's 1533-position model. The record is from RNAcentral.
AGCGUAGGCGGAUUUUUAAGUGAGAUGUGAAAUACUCGGGCUUAACCUGAGUGCUGCAUUUCAAACUGGAAGUCUAGAGUGCAGGAGAGGAGAAGGGAAUUCCUAGUGUAGCGGUGAAAUGCGUAGAGAUUAGGAAGAACACCAGUGGCGAAGGCGCUUCUCUGGACUGUAACUGACGCUGAGGCUCGAAAGUGUGGGUAGCAAACA